This is a non-coding RNA of Anas platyrhynchos (mallard), 1130 nucleotides long. The record is from RefSeq and is a predicted model, not a curated record. Lineage: Eukaryota; Metazoa; Chordata; Aves; Anseriformes; Anatidae.
UUCACCACAAGCUGGAAUAACACCGAGUGGUGGGGCCGUGGUGCUGUGCAGGCAGGCAGCCCGAGUCUCUCUGUCUGGCACUAUAAAACGUAACGCAGAAGCACUCCAGCGGAAGAGUAAGACAGAUGCUGUAAUGUGCUGAAGGGUGAGUGAAUAGUCUGAUGGCAGGCACACGUUAUAGAGCUGUGGGAGAUAAGGGCUUGAAUUUCAGCGUGGCCUCCAGCAAAUAUUUGAAGACAGUAUUCCCGGCCAGUGUCUUAGUCACCAGGCUCCCAUUUGCUCAUAUUAUGAUGUCUCAUUUCUUUUUAUGCUGAAGCUACUCCACGCUGUGCUAGCAAACUAUGUCAGAGAAAAGUGAGAAGAGCAACUGGCAUCCUCACCUAGGCUGUGUCAUCACUUACCCAGCACAAGCAGUCCUAGACACCGCUGGCUGCAGACCCACCUCCAACACCGAGAGGAGCUGUACCUAAAUAAGUGGUUUGGUGUAACAGAUACCAGUACGGAGUCCCCCAAAAGCAGUUAAAGCUUUUUCUUUUUUUUUAAACACAUCAUAAAGUCCUGGUGCAGAGUCGGUGCUGGCAGAUGAUCACGGCUACUACCACUCCCAGCAGAAGAAACAGCAAGAAGGUUAUUUGUUACCCUCUUACCGUGGAUCAAGAAGAGAGCCUCAGUCUCAUGUACCGCAUAAAUGACAAGCUCACUCUCGUUACCAUACCAGACACUUGGCCAGGUUCUCUCUAACAAACAUCCCACAUUGGUUACUGAGAACUGACCUGCAGACUGGAGAAAAGCCUCUGUCAGCAGUAGAGCUGGCAAGUAAGAGUGCUGCAGAGCUACCGGGACAAUCCUUCACUGCACUCCCCCAGCAAAGAGGCAGGAGCUGCUGUAAAGAUCAGGAUUGAUGGGGCAGUUGCAUGCAACACGUGGCCUGUAGAGCUAGAUGAAUACAUUGCACAAUGGAUUUGUCCCAGUCAACUCUGGAGAGGGAACGAAGAUCCUCUCUGUGCAAGGCAAUGAAAAGACCUAAUGGGAUCUCACAGGACACAAACCUUUGUAACAAUGGAAAUAAGAGCUCUUUGCUCAGAACCACAUAAAUUGGAUAACACAAAACUGAAAAGAAAAAAAAAAAA